Molecule: ribosomal RNA, 253 nt
Filed under: uncultured bacterium
Lineage: Bacteria
Description: partial 16S ribosomal RNA
Rfam family: Bacterial small subunit ribosomal RNA
Source: RNAcentral
UACGUAGGCAGCAAGCGUUGUUCGGAAUUACUGGGCGUAAAGGGUGCGUAGGCGGCUUUUUAAGUUUGGUGUGAAAUCUCCUGGCUCAACUGGGAGGGUGCGCCGAAUACUGAGAAGCUAGAGUGUGGGAGAGGAAGGUGGAAUUCCUGGUGUAGCGGUGAAAUGCGUAGAUAUCGGGAGGAACACCGGUGGCGAAGGCGGUUCUCUGGGCCUUACCUGACGCUGAGGCGCGAAAGCGUGGGGAGCGAACAGG